UGGGCAGUCCUGUGGGACCCAAAUGGCCGGGCUGGUGCCCUCCUGAGCAAAGUGCUUCUUAGAGCCAGAACUUCCUUCUCUCCUUCUUCCCUUCCUUCCUUCCUUCCCCUCCCCUUCCUUCCCCUUCUUCCUGUAUGACCCUUUCCCGCUCCUGUGUCAAGCACAGGAUACAGAGCUGGAAAGGGGCAGUCCCCUGGCCUGUGAGAAGCCGGUGGAGAGACAGCCAUGCAAAUAUCCCCUCCCAGGCAAUGUGCUGGGCACUGGUCCUUGGAGUUCCCCAAAGCCCUGUAGAAGACAAAUGAGGCUGCCUAAGGUGUCAGGAGGGCUUCCUGGGGCCGCUGGUGCUGCAUUUUACACCCUAAAACACACAAGCACUGCGUCUGCCUGCACAUACUGUGCGAGGACAGGCAGCCAUACUUUGGCUCGUGCUGUCCCCACUGCUCGAUAUUUUUCCACUCUCCUCUCUCAGAUAGCUCUGACUCAGUUGCCACCUCUUCCAGGAAGUCUGCAGAAGCUAAGUUUCAGCACCCCACAGAGAGGCUCAUCUGGGUGAGGCACUGAUUUUAUCCUGCAGAUAAGGGAAAGCCACUGUCCUGGAGGGGCCCAGAGUGGGAGAGGGACAGUGUCCAGUGAGAUAGUGCUGGGCUCUGCUGAUCCUGCUUUCUAAGAGUUGAUGAGCCCCUGUACCUCACCGGGUCUAUCCCUCUCUCUGCACCGAAAGGCCAUACUGUCUUGAUGGUGGCCAUGUCCUGACCACCUCUGUGUCCACAAGUGCUUGGUGAACCAACGUGAAGGAAGUGAGCACAGGGGAAGUGAGCCCACCAGACAGAGGUGUCCAGAAAUCACCUUGUGGUGAUGUAACAAUUUGGUCACAUACUGGCCUAGCUUCCAAGGUGGUGCCCAGGUUUCCCAUUAUUCUUUCAUGGCAGAGAUGUUAAGAGAAAGAUCUGGAUCUGAGUUCUGGCUCUGCCUUUUCCUACCUUGGUGACCUCUUUGAGCUCCCAUCUCCUCAACAGCAAAAUGGGGAUAAUAGUUGGACAUACCUCAUAGGUUUUUUUUGAUGACGAAAUAAGAUAAUGUAGGAUUAGUCUGCAGUGCUCUGGCUGGCACGUAGAUGGGCUCUAAGUAUAUUCUCUGUUAUCCGAGCCCUCAUCACUCCCUCUUCAUGCUCUUAUUCUGUGGGCUGAAAAUUCUGGAAUCAAGAAAGCUGUCUGAUUUAAACUGGUUCACACUGAUUCUAGCCUUAGCCCUACUCAAAGAGAUCCUGAUUCAUUAGGUCCAGGAUGGGUUCCCAAACUCAUUAUUUUUAUUAAUCUUUAUUUUUUAAUGAACAUCCUGGAUGAUCCCGACGGUUAGCCAGGUUUGGGAGCCACUAGAAUAAAUGAUAAUGGGAUUUUAUUUUAAUAAAAGCCAACUUGUGCCCUUAAAAAUGGAGGUUUAGCUUAGAGGCAAUUUCCCAUGGCCCCUGGAAGCACAGCAAGUAGAACCCUCUCCCUUCCUAUGGGGAAGGUGGCAUUUCUCCAGAGAAGCUCUGCUGGAAGGGGUGGGGGCAGCACCAGCUGUGUCCCCUCCUGCAGCUGUUUCAGGGCCACGGCCCAGUGGAAAUCACUGUGAAAUUCGUUCUCCACAUCUCCCAAAGCUGGGCCAGGUGGCCCUUGCCUGGAGCGGCUGAUCCCACCAGACAAGAGGAUCUGCGGGCCAAGGAAAUAUACCCACCCACCUCCACUCUGCACAGGGGUGCCCCAAAUCCUGCCUGCCUGGACCAGCAAGUGCCUUUUGUCCCAAAUCAAUUCAUGCCUUCUCACGGGGAGACCUUCUUGACUCGGCGUCAGGGAGCGCCCAGCGCUUGCAUUUCUGCAGGUUCACUCAGGACUGCUUGGCUUUGGAAGGUGGUCGUGGCUGGAUUCCACCUCAGCCCGGGGACACCCUGAGGCCUGGGACAGAGCUAGCUGCUCUGGGAAAAUGCAAGUGGAGGAGGCAAGGAAAUCUGUAGAUGAGGACAGUGUGGCCUCGGCAGAUUUCGCUCAUCCCUGUGAGUGACAGCCGGUGGGG
This is a long non-coding RNA of Equus caballus (horse), 2052 nucleotides long. Lineage: Eukaryota; Metazoa; Chordata; Mammalia; Perissodactyla; Equidae. The record is from Ensembl.